RNAcentral lists this ribosomal RNA (206 nucleotides) under Aurantiochytrium limacinum. Its description in RNAcentral is "partial Bacterial small subunit ribosomal RNA". It matches the Rfam family "Bacterial small subunit ribosomal RNA", at positions 1324 to 1529 of the family's 1533-position model. The record is from RNAcentral. Lineage: Eukaryota; Bigyra; Thraustochytrida; Thraustochytriidae.
AGUCGGAAUCGCUAGUAAUCGCGGAUCAGCAUGCCGCGGUGAAUACGUUCCCAGGCCUUGUACACACCGCCCGUCACACCAUGGGAGUUUGUUGCACCAGAAGCAGGUAGCUUAACCUUCGGGAGGGCGCUUGCCACGGUGUGGCCGAUGACUGGGGUGAAGUCGUAACAAGGUAGCCGUAGGGGAACCUGCGGCUGGAUCACCUC